This 1297-nucleotide ribosomal RNA is filed under the name Janthinobacterium sp. RNAcentral describes it as "bacterial SSU rRNA". It matches the Rfam family "Bacterial small subunit ribosomal RNA", at positions 106 to 1405 of the family's 1533-position model. Lineage: Bacteria; Pseudomonadati; Pseudomonadota; Betaproteobacteria; Burkholderiales; Oxalobacteraceae. The record is from RNAcentral.
GUGAGUAAUAUAUCGGAACGUACCCUAGAGUGGGGGAUAACGUAGCGAAAGUUACGCUAAUACCGCAUACGAUCUAAGGAUGAAAGUGGGGGAUCGCAAGACCUCAUGCUCGUGGAGCGGCCGAUAUCUGAUUAGCUAGUUGGUAGGGUAAAAGCCUACCAAGGCAUCGAUCAGUAGCUGGUCUGAGAGGACGACCAGCCACACUGGAACUGAGACACGGUCCAGACUCCUACGGGAGGCAGCAGUGGGGAAUUUUGGACAAUGGGCGAAAGCCUGAUCCAGCAAUGCCGCGUGAGUGAAGAAGGCCUUCGGGUUGUAAAGCUCUUUUGUCAGGGAAGAAACGGUGAAAGCUAAUAUCUUUUGCUAAUGACGGUACCUGAAGAAUAAGCACCGGCUAACUACGUGCCAGCAGCCGCGGUAAUACGUAGGGUGCAAGCGUUAAUCGGAAUUACUGGGCGUAAAGCGUGCGCAGGCGGUUUUGUAAGUCUGAUGUGAAAUCCCCGGGCUCAACCUGGGAAUUGCAUUGGAGACUGCAAGGCUAGAAUCUGGCAGAGGGGGGUAGAAUUCCACGUGUAGCAGUGAAAUGCGUAGAUAUGUGGAGGAACACCGAUGGCGAAGGCAGCCCCCUGGGUCAAGAUUGACGCUCAUGCACGAAAGCGUGGGGAGCAAACAGGAUUAGAUACCCUGGUAGUCCACGCCCUAAACGAUGUCUACUAGUUGUCGGGUCUUAAUUGACUUGGUAACGCAGCUAACGCGUGAAGUAGACCGCCUGGGGAGUACGGUCGCAAGAUUAAAACUCAAAGGAAUUGACGGGGACCCGCACAAGCGGUGGAUGAUGUGGAUUAAUUCGAUGCAACGCGAAAAACCUUACCUACCCUUGACAUGGCUGGAAUCCCCGAGAGAUUGGGGAGUGCUCGAAAGAGAACCAGUACACAGGUGCUGCAUGGCUGUCGUCAGCUCGUGUCGUGAGAUGUUGGGUUAAGUCCCGCAACGAGCGCAACCCUUGUCAUUAGUUGCUACGAAAGGGCACUCUAAUGAGACUGCCGGUGACAAACCGGAGGAAGGUGGGGAUGACGUCAAGUCCUCAUGGCCCUUAUGGGUAGGGCUUCACACGUCAUACAAUGGUACAUACAGAGCGCCGCCAACCCGCGAGGGGGAGCUAAUCGCAGAAAGUGUAUCGUAGUCCGGAUUGUAGUCUGCAACUCGACUGCAUGAAGUUGGAAUCGCUAGUAAUCGCGGAUCAGCAUGUCGCGGUGAAUACGUUCCCGGGUCUUGUACACACCGCCCGUCACACCAU